AAUUUGAAUUUAUUUAUAAGUAAGGAUUAAUGAUCUAAAGUUAUUCUACUAUCGAAUUGCUUUAACAACACUGAGAAAUUAUUUUCACCGUCACUAAUGAAAAUCGAAAUGCAGCACCAGAAUCCAUCCAUCAUAACCAGCACUUGUGAAAGCAUUCUAAAAUUGACUUUCUGAAAUCAAAUAUAAUCUUACUACCCAAAAAGACCUGAUUAAACUCUCCGGAGAGGGUUUUUUAAACAGCGUGGAGAGUCAUUGACCUGAAAACCAGGAGACGUGGUCUCUCGUUCCAUCUCUGCUGCUAACUUGCUGUGAGACUUUGAUCUCUAACUUCUUCAGCCCUCAGUUUCCUCAUCUAUGAAAUGAGACAGAUGCAUAAGUUUUACACAUCUACAAUCAUACUAUGGGCACAACGGUGCCUUUAUCAUUUAAAGGGAUUUAGAACAUGGAUCUAUAAGAACUCCACUGUUUUCUCCAAGGAUCUGUAGUAACAUGGAUGACACUGCAAAGCCAAAGAGCAAGAAAAGUGAGGGAAAGAAAACUGGGUGGUUACCUUCUACAAGAGUUCACAGAGCAAAACAGAGCUGAGAAUGCAAAGAAGUCUGGAUGAACUGAAUUACAGAUCAGGGUGAGCUUUCCCUAGGUGAGCGAAGGUCCACAGCCAUUCUCCUAGUGGAACAGAGAGAGGAGAAGUAAACCUCAUAGAUGAGGGGCUUCUAUCACUGCAUGUAGACGGCAGACAAACUCGUAUGGCCACAUGUGGACUUCUGUGAUGGCUUAGGAGAGUCCUGAGGAGACUGAGGGAGUCUAUAGAGCCUGUCAACUCUUUUCCAUAGCCUGCCAAUUCUUUCCCACAGAGCCUUAACCAAGUGCACACAGUGGCUAGCUGCCGAAAGUUGGGGCCAGGGCAGCAGAGGGGAUAGAGGUCCCCUUGGGAACACCUGCACAUCAAGUCUUUUCUCUUGAGAUUUCACUGUACUAAAGGCUGGUGACAGGGUAGAAAGACUGAGGGAUUUCUCCCAAGACUUGGAAAGCCAGGGAGGAGGCAGGGAGAGGCUGAGAGCAGUAAGCCCUUGAAAAGGCAUAAAACACUGGUGGCAGAACUGUAAAUUGGGGGCAAGGGGUCAGGGGAGAGAGAUAUCUAGACUUACUAGAGCAUAGAUCACAAGCUCUGAUAAAGGGACAGCUCUUAUUCUGCUCUCAAAAUAUUUAAAACAAGUAUCAAACUGAAACAAAUGCUACUCACACCAGACCCAGCUCAACUGGAGAUUAUUAAAGAGAAUAAAAACCUCAGACUGGCCGUCAGACAGAGGAAGGGAUGCAGCUCUUCUGGAUGCCUAUAUUUCGAGAAAUAGUAUAAAUUUUUACCUCGACAAGAUAAGGCUCCAUUUGAUCCAGGGUUUUUCCAAGAUGCUUAUCGGGAUCUAAACCUGCCAAGAAAAGUUCAAUUUUUUAAGAAAACUAUCAGAUUGGAAGUUUAAAGACACAUCCCCCUUCCCUUGGCUCCUCCUUGCCUAGGAAACCAACAUUUCUUCAUGGAAGCUGGAUGGAUGAAAAAACCCACAACAAGACCUAGGCACUGGAUAACUCUAUGCAGAAUUAAGAAAUUAAUUAGGAGGAAGAAUCAUAAUUUGCAGAGCUGACAUCUAUUUU
Long non-coding RNA from Equus quagga, 1650 nucleotides. RefSeq lists it as uncharacterized. The transcript is spliced from 7 exons. Lineage: Eukaryota; Metazoa; Chordata; Mammalia; Perissodactyla; Equidae. The record is from RefSeq and is a predicted model, not a curated record.